UGGGGAAUAUUGCACAAUGGGGGAAACCCUGAUGCAGCAACGCCGCGUGCGGGAUGACGGCCUUCGGGUUGUAAACCGCUUUCAGCCAUGACGAAGCUUUUGUGACGGUAGUGGCAGAAGAAGCACCGGCUAACUACGUGCCAGCAGCCGCGGUGAUACGUAGGGUGCGAGCGUUGUCCGGAAUUAUUGGGCGUAAAGAGCUUGUAGGCGGUUUGUCGCGUCGUAAGUGUAAACUCAGUGCUUAACGCUGAGCCUGCUUUCGAUACGGGCUGACUAGAGGAAGGUAGGGGAGAAUGGAAUUCCCGGUGGAGCGGUGGAAUGCGCAGAUAUCGGGAGGAACACCAGUGGCGAAGGCGGUUCUCUGGACCUUUCCUGACGCUGAGAAGCGAAAGCGUGGGUAGCAAACAGG
This 409-nucleotide ribosomal RNA is filed under the name bacterium. RNAcentral's name for it is "partial 16S ribosomal RNA". It matches the Rfam family "Bacterial small subunit ribosomal RNA", at positions 355 to 776 of the family's 1533-position model. The record is from RNAcentral.